RNAcentral lists this ribosomal RNA (392 nucleotides) under uncultured bacterium. Its description in RNAcentral is "partial 16S ribosomal RNA". It matches the Rfam family "Bacterial small subunit ribosomal RNA", at positions 523 to 918 of the family's 1533-position model. The record is from RNAcentral.
CUACGGAGGAUCCGAGCGUUAUCCGGAUUUAUUGGGUUUAAAGGGUGCGCAGGCGGCCAUUUAAGUCAGCGGUUAAAUCGUGGGGCUCAACCCCAUUCUGCCGUUGAUACUGGGUGGCUUGAUUGCGGUCGAGGUUGGCGGAAUUCGUUGUGUAGCGGUGAAAUGCAUAGAUAUGACGAAGAACACCGAUUGCGUAGGCAGCUGACAAGACCGCAAAUGACGCUCAUGCACGAAAGUGCGGGGAUCGAACAGGAUUAGAUACCCUGGUAGUCCGCACAGUAAACGAUGAAUACUUGUUUUCGGCGAUAUAAUGUCGGAGGCAAAGCGAAAGCGAUAAGUAUUCCACCUGGGGAGUACGCCGGCAACGGUGAAACUCAAAUGAAUUGACGGGG